RNA transcript from Salvelinus fontinalis (brook trout), 1329 nucleotides. It is a transcript of the gene named cleavage and polyadenylation specificity factor subunit 5, with no coding region annotated. The transcript is spliced from 7 exons. The record is from RefSeq and is a predicted model, not a curated record. NCBI's taxonomy places the organism in Eukaryota, Metazoa, Chordata, Actinopteri, Salmoniformes, Salmonidae.
GCAUCAAACACGGAACAGGAAAAAGAGAAAGAGAAGAAGGCAAUUUGCGCAUGGUCACGUCCUUCCAUUUCUCUCUGUUAUUGUUCUAAUACAUGUUUUGCAUUGAAUUUCUACCUGAGGAUUUUGAAGCUAGAUUUUUUAUAGUGGUAUUGGAGCAAUGUCGAGUGUGCCUGCUCCCAAUCGUUCAUCCGCCGGCUGGCCGCGCGGGGUCAGUCAGUUUGGCGGGAACAAAUACAUGAGCGCGCCUGCAAAACCACUCAGCCUGGAGAGAACCAUUAAUUUAUACCCUCUCACCAACUACACAUUUGGGACCAAGGAGCCUCUGUAUGAGAAGGACAGUUCAGUGGCAGCACGGUUCCAGAGGAUGCGGGAGGAGUUUGACAAGCUGGGCAUGCGGAGGGCGGUGGAGGGAGUGCUUAUUGUCCAUGAGCACAGGUUGCCCCAUGUACUGCUGUUGCAGCUGGGAACCACCUUCUUCAAACUGCCAGGUGGAGAGCUGAGCCCAGGGGAGGAUGAGGUGGAUGGGCUGAAACGCCUGAUGACAGAGAUCCUGGGCCGGCAGGACGGGGUGAAGCAGGAUUGGGUGAUUGAUGACUCCAUCGGAAACUGGUGGCGCCCCAACUUUGAACCCCCACAGUAUCCCUACAUUCCAGCCCACAUCACUAAACCCAAGGAGCAUAAAAAGCUCUUCCUGGUUCAACUGCAGGAAAAAGUGAUAUUUGCUUCUGUGUCUUUCAGCUCUGUUUGCAGUCCCAAAGAACUACAAACUGGUGGCAGCCCCUUUGUUUGAGCUUUAUGACAACGCCCCCGGCUAUGGGCCAAUCAUAUCCAGCCUACCGCAACUACUAAGCAGGUUCAACUUUAUCUACAACUAAAUGGUGUGAGAAUGGGCACAGUGGCUGGCUGUCUCUGUGAGUGCAGCCAUAUAUGGGUGAAAUGAAGACAUGGAGGGGAAGUAAUACAAUGUGCGGCAAUCAAAAUAAGCAACACAAGGCUACUCACCUCUGGCUUCCCGGUAAGGCUGAACAAAAAACCCACCAUCUCAAGAGAAGGGACUGUAAAUGUGCUCUUUACAAUGAUGGAAGAAAAUAUACUGUCAGACUUUUUGUUUGGAUCUUAAAUAAUUCUGUCAUUUCUUACAUUAUUAAACUGCAACCCAGUGUCUCAAGAAUCAGAUUUUAUGCUCUUGCAACAGAAUACAUUUAUUUGAUUAAAGAAACAACAGCAUUGAGUUUCCUGUUGUGAUUUAAGCUGUAUUACUGUCAUGCUAUUUCUUUUUCUUCAAAAAAAUAAAAUUAGUCUUUUCAUGAAGACUGGCUUUUAUAAGAA